GAUGAAGAACGCAGUGAAAUGCGAUAAUUAAUGUGAAUUGCGGAAUUCAGUGAAUCAUCGAGUCUUUGAACGCACAUUGCGCCCCCUGGUAUUCCGGGGGGCAUGCCUGUCCGAGCGUCAUUGCUGCCCUCAAGCACGGCUUGUGUGUUGGGCUUCCGUCCCUGGCAACGGGGACGGGCCCAAAAGGCAGUGGCGGCACCAUGUCUGGUCCUCGAGCGUAUGGGGCUUUGUCACCCGCUCCCGUAGGUCCAGCUGGCAGCUAGCCUCGCAACCAAUCUUUUUAACCAGGUUGACCUCGGAUCAGGUAGGGAUACCCGCUGAACUUAAGCAUAUCAAUAAGCGGAGGA
RNAcentral lists this unclassified non-coding RNA (347 nucleotides) under soil metagenome. RNAcentral's name for it is "partial contains 5.8S ribosomal RNA, internal transcribed spacer 2, and large subunit ribosomal RNA". The stretch from base 1 to 120 matches the Rfam family "5.8S ribosomal RNA", at positions 35 to 154 of the family's 154-position model. The record is from RNAcentral.